Molecule: ribosomal RNA, 1313 nt
Filed under: Megacopta distanti
Lineage: Eukaryota; Metazoa; Arthropoda; Insecta; Hemiptera; Plataspidae
Description: 16S ribosomal RNA
Rfam family: Archaeal large subunit ribosomal RNA (bases 866-1235)
Source: RNAcentral
UUUCCUACUUAAUUUAAUAUUUAAUUAUUAUUGUUUAUUUAUUUUUAUGAAAUAACAUUUGCUUUAUAGUAAAUUUUGUUGAAGUUUAUUAUUUAUAUAUUUAUAGUUAAUUUAUCUGUGAGGGUAAAAUUUUUAUUGGGUUUUAAAAGUAGAAUUAUAUUUUUGUACCUUUUGUAUCAGGGUUUAACAAUUUAUUAUAUAUAAUUAUAUUUUUCCCGAAUUUAUAAGAGAUAACUAAUAUUCUGUUAUUUAUUAUGUCAAAAAUAUUAAUAAGAUUUAGUUGGGGGAUAUAUUCUAUUCAAUUAUAAUUAUAUCUGGUUUCUUGAUAUAUGAAUUUAAUUCAGGAUUAUUAAUAUUAAAUUUAUUCUUUUAUUUAUAUUUAUGUUAUAAUCUAAAAUUAAGGGGGAUAAGCUCUUUAAUUGUUUUAUAGUUAUAAUUUACAUAUCGUAAUUUAUUAAAUUAUAUAGGUUUAAUAAUGGCCAAUAUUUAUUUUGUUAUAAUUAUUUUUAAUAUAUUUUAUUUAUUUUAUUUGUUAACUUAAUUUUUUAUCAAGAUUUUAAAAUUAAUGUUUAAAUUUUAAGUAUUAAUGUUAAAAUUAGUAAUUUUUUAAUUUUAUAUAUAGUAAUUCGGCAAAUUUGAAUCUCACCUGUUUAUCAAAAACAUGUCCUGUUGAUUUAUUAAUUUCAGGUCGCUCCUGCUCAAUGAUUAUAUUUUUAAUUAAAUGGCCGCAGUAUUUUGACUGUGCAAAGGUAGCAUAAUCAUUUGUCUCUUAAUUGGAGGCUUGUAUGAAUGGAUUGAUGAAGUUUCAGCUUUCUUUAUAUAAAGUAUUGAAUUUAACUUUUUAGUUAAAAGGCUAAAAAUUUAUUUAUGGGACGAGAAGACCCUAUAGAAAUUUACUAGUUUAUAUGGAAUUUAUUAUUCUACUUAAUCAAAUAGUUCCAUUAUAUUCCAGUUUUGUUGGGGUGACAUUGAGAUUUAUUUAACUCACAAUUGUUUAAAUUAUUUAUUUAUAUUUUUAAUGAUCCUUUAUUAUUGAUAAAAAGAUUAAUUUACCUUAGGGAUAACAGCGUAAUUUUUUCGGAGAGUUCAUAUCGAUGAAGGAGUUUGCGACCUCGAUGUUGGAUUAAAAUUAGUUUUGUAGUGUAGCAGCUCAAUUUACUGGGUCUGUUCGACCUUUAAUUUUUUACAUGAUCUGAGUUCAGACCGGCGUGAGCCAGGUCGGUUUCUAUCUAUAAUUAUAAAUAAUUAUACUUUAGUACGAAAGGACCAAGUAUAGCAUAAAUUUAUGUUUGAUAUUGAUUAAUUAUUAAUAU